AUGGCCCGAGGAUGUUGC
Molecule: microRNA, 18 nt
Filed under: Drosophila pseudoobscura pseudoobscura
Lineage: Eukaryota; Metazoa; Arthropoda; Insecta; Diptera; Drosophilidae
Description: mir-2568b-RB
Source: RNAcentral